GGUGAGGAACGAACAUCAACAUAAUUAUCUUUUCUUGUGACAGUUUCCCAGUCAUCGUCACUGUAGAAAAUACAUGUAUCGUCUGCGUAUGCUAUAAUAUCUCCCAUAGUGGGCAGACAGAAUAACUCAUUUAUAUAUAAGUUAAACAGUAUAGGACCUAAUACAGAGCCCUGAGGGACUCCAUACGUGAUCCGUUUUAAUUCGCUACGAUAAUUAUUUAUUGCCACAAACUGAUAACGAUGAGUGAGGUAACUCCUGAAAAAGUUUAAUGACACCCCUCUAGCACCCACUCUUUCCAGACAGUUUAACAACAGAUCAUGACUUACAGUGUCAAACGCUUUUGACAAGUCUAUAAAUACACUGAGGGAUUUUUUGUUGUCGUCCAUAGCCGAAUAUAUAUUGGAAGUAAGAUGAAGAAUAGCAUCUUGCGUAGAUACCCCAGCUCUAAAACCAUACUGUCUUGGUGAUAAUACCUGAUGUCUCUCAAGAUCUCGCACAAACUCCAAAGGCUCAGUAGAAGGUGAUCUAUACCCAGCCAAAAUAUUAAUAUUUUUUUGCUGAAACUGAAUCUCGGCUAGAAUCAAUUUAUUUCCA
This is a long non-coding RNA of Anoplophora glabripennis (Asian longhorned beetle), 594 nucleotides long. RefSeq lists it as uncharacterized. The transcript is spliced from 3 exons. NCBI's taxonomy places the organism in Eukaryota, Metazoa, Arthropoda, Insecta, Coleoptera, Cerambycidae. The record is from RefSeq and is a predicted model, not a curated record.